CGGCAGGGCCCACUACCCGAAGAUGGUGGCUCCGCCGUGUACCAACAGCUCGUGCCAUUGGGCGGCCCGGGCCACCCUCGCCCAAUGAGAAGGAGGGAUGUUGCUAAGUGGGCGGAGCCUGAGCUGUGCCCCCCGGGAGUGGGCCCGGAGAAAUCGAGCUCUGGGGGACAGAUGGGAGGUCGCCACAGCGCCUCCUGCAGGCCAGGAAGAUCGGGAGGCCUGUCCGUCCGCCGCCUGGGCUGCUCUGCAAGGAGGCCCAGAGGCCACACCUGGGGCUGCAGGAACUUGGGUAUGAAUAGCUACAGCCUUCAUCAGUAGGCAAAGGAGAAAGGGAAACCUACCAGGCACAGGGCACUGGGAGGACAGAUGGAGAAGAUGAGCCCAGCCCCAGGAGAAUAAUGCCUGUUUUUCACAGGCAUUGGUGACCAUGGCUGAGAAGAAGACACAGAAGAAAGUUGUCCCUCCAGGACCACAGGUAAACUGUCCCAAUUCUGGGGUGAGCUGCUGGGCCUGGGCCAGUCCAACCCUAUUUGUCAGGUCUUGCCUGGCACUUCUGUCUCACUGUGACAAGCCUGUGCACCCCACGCUACCCCAACAGAGCAGUGCAGGCUUACCCAACCUGCACCCAUGCCCUGUGCUAAGCCUGGGACCAGGCAUCUUAGAACUUUGAAUCCAAGGGUAAUCUGUAGAGGGAGUUACCCAACACUGGCUACUCCAAGAAGAGCUUCUGGAAGCCUGUCGCAAAGGACUUCAUUAAAGGCUUUUGUUUCUGGGCA
Long non-coding RNA from Manis pentadactyla (Chinese pangolin), 776 nucleotides. RefSeq lists it as uncharacterized. The record is from RefSeq and is a predicted model, not a curated record. NCBI's taxonomy places the organism in Eukaryota, Metazoa, Chordata, Mammalia, Pholidota, Manidae. The transcript has 3 exons.